RNAcentral lists this ribosomal RNA (366 nucleotides) under uncultured Rhodoferax sp. RNAcentral describes it as "bacterial SSU rRNA". It matches the Rfam family "Bacterial small subunit ribosomal RNA", at positions 1017 to 1382 of the family's 1533-position model. Lineage: Bacteria; Pseudomonadati; Pseudomonadota; Betaproteobacteria; Burkholderiales; Comamonadaceae. The record is from RNAcentral.
CUCGAAGAGAGCCGUAACACAGGUGCUGCAUGGCUGUCGUCAGCUCGUGUCGUGAGAUGUUGGGUUAAGUCCCGCAACGAGCGCAACCCUUGUCAUUAGUUGCUACAUUCAGUUGGGCACUCUAAUGAGACUGCCGGUGACAAGCCGGAGGAAGGUGGGGAUGACGUCAAGUCCUCAUGGCCCUUAUAGGUGGGGCUACACACGUCAUACAAUGGCUGGUACAAAGGGUUGCCGAACCCGCGAGGGGGAGACCAAUCCCAUAAAGCCAGUCGUAGUCCGGAUCGUAGUCUGCAACUCGACUACGUGAAGUCGGAAUCGCUAGUAAUCGUGGAUCAGAAUGUCACGGUGAAUACGUUCCCGGGUCUU